AACGUAGGUGGCGAGCGUUAUCCGGAUUUACUGGGCGUAAAGCGUGUGCAGGCGGGUUGUCAAGUGGUGUAUGAAAUCGCCCGGCUCAACCGGGCGGGGUUAUGCCAGACUGACAGCCUGGAGUGCGGGAGAGGGGCGUGGAAUUCCGGGUGUAGUGGUGAAAUGCGUAGAGAUCCGGAGGAACCCCAGAGGCGAAGGCGGCGCCCUGGCCCGACACUGACGCUCAGACACGACAGCAUGGGGAGCGAACGGG
RNAcentral lists this ribosomal RNA (253 nucleotides) under uncultured bacterium. RNAcentral describes it as "partial 16S ribosomal RNA". It matches the Rfam family "Bacterial small subunit ribosomal RNA", at positions 524 to 776 of the family's 1533-position model. The record is from RNAcentral.